This 213-nucleotide ribosomal RNA is filed under the name uncultured Desulfobacteraceae bacterium. RNAcentral describes it as "partial 16S ribosomal RNA". It matches the Rfam family "Bacterial small subunit ribosomal RNA", at positions 1169 to 1382 of the family's 1533-position model. The record is from RNAcentral. Lineage: Bacteria; Pseudomonadati; Thermodesulfobacteriota; Desulfobacteria; Desulfobacterales; Desulfobacteraceae.
GGAAGUGGGGAUGACGUCAAGUCCUCAUGGCCUUAUGUCCAGGGCUACACACGUGCUACAAUGGACGGUACAGAGGGUCGCAAUAUCGCGAGAUGGAGCCAAUCCCAAAAAGCCGUUCCCAGUUCGGAUUGGAGUCUGCAACUCGACUCCAUGAAGUUGGAAUCGCUAGUAAUCGCGGAUCAGCAUGCCGCGGUGAAUACGUUCCCGGGCCUU